AGCAGCCGCGGUAAUUCCAGCUCCAAUAGCGUAUAUUAAAGUUGUUGCAGUUAAAAAGCUCGUAGUUGAAUUUCGGGAUCAGUUGAUCGGUCGUGCCUCGGUACGUACUGGUCAAAUUGAUUCCUACCUUCUGACGAACCACGAUGUCAUUAAUUUGGUGUCGCGGGAAAUCAGGACUGUUACUUUGAAAAAAUUAGAGUGUUUAAAGCAGGCUCGCGCUUGAAUACAUUAGCAUGGAAUAAUGAAAUAGGACGUUUGAUUCUAUUUUGUUGGUUCUAUUUUGUUGGUUUCUAGGAUCGACGUAAUGAUUAAUAGGGAUAGUUGGGGGCAUUAGUAUUCAAUUGUCAGAGGUGAAAUUCUUGGAUUUAUUGAAGACUAACUACUGCGAAAGCAUUUGCCAAGGAUGUUUUCAUUAAUCAAGAACGAAAGUUAGGGGAUCGAAGACGAUCAGAUACCGUCGUAGUCUUAACCAUAAACUAUGCCGACUAGGGAUCGGAUGAUGUUAAUUUUUUAAUGACUCAUUCGGCGCCUUACG
Molecule: ribosomal RNA, 535 nt
Filed under: uncultured Glomus
Lineage: Eukaryota; Fungi; Glomeromycota; Glomeromycetes; Glomerales; Glomeraceae
Description: SSU rRNA
Rfam family: Eukaryotic small subunit ribosomal RNA
Source: RNAcentral